CUACGGGCCGCAGCAGUGGGGAAUAUUGCGCAAUGGGCGAAAGCCUGACGCAGCCACGCCGCGUGUGUGAUGAAGGCCUUCGGGUCGUAAAGAACUGUCGGGAGGGAAGAAGUUCUGACGGUACCUCCCAAGAAAGCACCGGCCAACUCCGUGCCAGCAGCCGCGGUAAUACGGAGGGUGCAAGCGUUGCUCGGAAUUACUGGGCGUAAAGCGUACGCAGGCGGAUCGUUAAGUCGGAUGUGAAAUCCCGGGGCUCAACCCCGGAAUUGCAUUCGAUACUGGCGGUCUUGAAUACGGGAGAGGGAAGCGGAAUUCCUGGUGUAGAGGUGAAAUGCGUAGAUAUCAGGAGGAACAUCAGUGGCGAAAGCGGCUUCCUGGUCCGAUAUUGACGCUCAUGUACGAAAGCGUGGGGAGCAAACAGGAUUAGAUACCCUUGUAGUC
This 441-nucleotide ribosomal RNA is filed under the name uncultured bacterium. RNAcentral describes it as "partial 16S ribosomal RNA". It matches the Rfam family "Bacterial small subunit ribosomal RNA", at positions 339 to 795 of the family's 1533-position model. The record is from RNAcentral.